GGCGGCAUGCCUUACACAUGCAAGUCGAACGGCAGCACGGACUUCGGUCUGGUGGCGAGUGGCGAACGGGUGAGUAAUACAUCGGAACGUGCCUAGUAGUGGGGGAUAACUACUCGAAAGAGUGGCUAAUACCGCAUGAGAUCUACGGAUGAAAGCAGGGGAUCGCAAGACCUUGUGCUACUAGAGCGGCUGAUGGCAGAUUAGGUAGUUGGUGGGAUAAAAGCUUACCAAGCCGACGAUCUGUAGCUGGUCUGAGAGGACGAUCAGCCACACUGGGACUGAGACACGGCCCAGACUCCUACGGGAGGCAGCAGUGGGGAAUUUUGGACAAUGGGCGCAAGCCUGAUCCAGCAAUGCCGCGUGCAGGAUGAAGGCCUUCGGGUUGUAAACUGCUUUUGUACGGAACGAAAAGCUUCGGGCUAAUACCUUGGAGUCAUGACGGUACCGUAAGAAUAAGCACCGGCUAACUACGUGCCAGCAGC
This 482-nucleotide ribosomal RNA is filed under the name uncultured bacterium. RNAcentral describes it as "bacterial SSU rRNA". It matches the Rfam family "Bacterial small subunit ribosomal RNA", at positions 38 to 515 of the family's 1533-position model. The record is from RNAcentral.